Molecule: ribosomal RNA, 253 nt
Filed under: uncultured bacterium
Lineage: Bacteria
Description: partial 16S ribosomal RNA
Rfam family: Bacterial small subunit ribosomal RNA
Source: RNAcentral
UACGUAGGGUGCAAGCGUUAAUCGGAAUUACUGGGCGUAAAGCGUGCGCAGGCGGUUUUGUAAGUCUGUCGUGAAAUCCCCGGGCUCAACCUGGGAAUUGCAUUUGUGACUGCACGGCUAGAGUGUGUCAGAGGGGGGUAGAAUUCCACGUGUAGCAGUGAAAUGCGUAGAUAUGUGGAGGAAUACCGAUGGCGAAGGCAGCCCCCUGGGAUAACACUGACGCUCAUGCACGAAAGCGUGGGGAGCAAACAGG